This is a non-coding RNA of Caenorhabditis elegans, 21 nucleotides long. The record is from Ensembl. Lineage: Eukaryota; Metazoa; Nematoda; Chromadorea; Rhabditida; Rhabditidae.
UUUGGAGACAUCUGGUAGGUG